AUGAGAAACCUUCCUUUUCCAACUGUGAUUGUCGAACGGAGUCGAAGUGCGCGCGUGUGUAAUUUCCGUUUCGAGGUUAGAUUUUGAAACCUCUGUUUUGUGAAAACUUAUUGUUUAAUGUUGUUCUUUUCUAUAGUAGCUAGGUCCAGUGGAAAAGUCUGAUCGUUAAAAGAUUAAGUGUUAGUAACGAUUAAAAAAAGAUUACAAAGAAAAGGUGAAAAGACGAAUUUACUACAAACAAAAGAAUCGUCCACAACGCACAUGUUAAAACAAUAAGAAAAAGGUCCGUUCAAGGGGCCUUUUUCUUCCGUUCUAUUUUCAAGUUCGUCCUCGGGUGUUCAUGGUGGUGCAAACUCGUGCCGAAUAACUACAACUUUCGGCGGCAGUGUAACAGUCGACGUAAACACGAUAGGCAAACCGCGAGCAAGAUCGGAACGUUCCCGGCCAUUCCCGGCAUUCUUCGCCGAUGCCGCCAUUGUUACCGCGAACGAGAUCGGACAGAUCCCGGCCAUUCUCUUUCCAUCUACGCCUUUUUGCGACCGUUCAGCAUCCGCCAUUGCAAUCCGCUCCGCGGAUAGAGAAAUCCGCCAUGAUACCAUCAAACACCGGAGGUGGUCUAAGAAAGCCCAGGACCAUUUGAGAACAACCCUCCAUCCGACCUAUCAUCGGGAUUCCAACCAAUGUUUCCCAACUACCACGAUUCGUACCACAAGGACCAGUGGUUACCCAGCAUCAAACCCCAGCCUACCAUCGAAAGCUUUCGCACCGAUCAUCGAGACUCCAGAUCCGGAUCCGGCAGCAACUAGCGAACAGCAAGUAUACCCUUUGUGACGUCGUAAAUAAAUAUUGUUGAUUAGUAUGUAGUAAAUC
Molecule: long non-coding RNA, 870 nt
Organism: Armigeres subalbatus
Lineage: Eukaryota; Metazoa; Arthropoda; Insecta; Diptera; Culicidae
Exons: 3
Source: RefSeq, a predicted model, not a curated record